UCUUGCUUUCCAGAUCUGUUCUUCCCCAUCCUCAAUUUAGCAAAUCAAACCCUAGCUCAGUCGAUCGCCAUGGCAUCUUCUUCUUUUGCAAGUGUUCCUCCAUGUAAAUACGAUGUGGAUCCGUCAGAAGUACGAACUCGAUCGGAUAGGUUUGUUGUCAAACAUGGAUCCAAGUAUAACGAUGAUGUUGAUGAAGUAACACAUAAGGUGAAACGAUGGAGGAUUGAUCUUACUCUUAAAGGUUGUGAUACACUCAAUCGGGUUGAAUCAGGGAGCAUUAAGUGGAUUCUUCGCCAAAUUUCUUUAUUAUAAUAUACAAUUGAAAUGCAUGAUUUGAUACAAGAUAUGGGUAAAUAUGUUGUUGCUAUGAAAAUGAUCUUGGAGAAAGGAGAACAUAGGAGACCAUGGCGCAUUGAAGAUUCGGAAGAGUGAUGAUCAACAAUACAAGAUGGUUGUAAAAAUUCCAGGGAGCGUUUAAUAUACUUGUGUAAUAAUUACUUUCCACCAAAGUAAAUGUACACUAGAAAGUUGUUUUUUUCUGCCCUGACAAAGAGCACUUGUUAUUUUGAUCAAAUAGCACAUGUACAAUCCAUUACAGCACCCCGCCUAUUCAUCAACCAUCGCUCUGCACUUAGGCAUUGUUUGAUAGUGUAUUGGGAAAAAUAAUACAUGAAUUAGAUUUGUGUAUUGGUAAUAUCAUGUUUGGUAUAUUUUUUCAGUUUAUGCAUAAUUAAUAUUAGCAUUAGUUUUACAUUUUAUUGUGUAUUGAAGUGUGUAUUACUAAUA
Molecule: long non-coding RNA, 786 nt
Organism: Solanum dulcamara
Lineage: Eukaryota; Viridiplantae; Streptophyta; Magnoliopsida; Solanales; Solanaceae
Exons: 4
Source: RefSeq, a predicted model, not a curated record